GACGAACGCUGGCGGCGUGCUUAACACAUGCAAGUCGAACGCUGAAGCUUGGUGCUUGCACUGGGUGGAUGAGUGGCGAACGGGUGAGUAAUAAGUGAGUAACCUGCCCUUGACUCUGGGAUAAGUCUGGGAAACUGGGUCUAAUACUGGAUACGACAUGUCACCGCAUGGUGGUGUGUGGAAAGGGUUUUACUGGUUUUGGAUGGGCUCACGGCCUAUCAGCUUGUUGGUGGGGUAAUGGCUCACCAAGGCGACGACGGGUAGCCGGCCUGAGAGGGUGACCGGCCACACUGGGACUGAGACACGGCCCAGACUCCUACGGGAGGCAGCAGUGGGGAAUAUUGCACAAUGGGCGGAAGCCUGAUGCAGCGACGCCGCGUGAGGGAUGACGGCCUUCGGGUUGUAAACCUCUUUCAGCACGGAAGAAGCGAAAGUGACGGUACGUGCAGAAGAAGCGCCGGCUAACUACGUG
This 472-nucleotide ribosomal RNA is filed under the name uncultured bacterium. RNAcentral describes it as "partial 16S ribosomal RNA". It matches the Rfam family "Bacterial small subunit ribosomal RNA", at positions 28 to 507 of the family's 1533-position model. The record is from RNAcentral.